Rhincodon typus (whale shark) is the source of this 532-nucleotide long non-coding RNA. RefSeq lists it as uncharacterized. NCBI's taxonomy places the organism in Eukaryota, Metazoa, Chordata, Chondrichthyes, Orectolobiformes, Rhincodontidae. The transcript has 3 exons. The record is from RefSeq and is a predicted model, not a curated record.
GGUGGUGCGUGAUUUGGAAAUUGGGGUUAUUCUUCGCCCAUCACCCCACCACAAAACCCAGCCCACUGUUUCUCUCACUGCUUCCCUUCCCCAGCCAUAUGUCUUUCCCUACCCCAGCCCUGGUCCCACUCCCCUCUUUCCCCAGUAUCAGCAAACUUCCAAAGAUAUUUCCUACAUAUUAUUACGUUGCUUUUCUGAGAACCUUCAACAAUUUGAGAAUUGGAUAGAAAAGGAGAGACAGAGCAGCCACUCCAGAAGCUUCCAAAAUCACUCUGCACCUUGACCUUCUUGAAUGGUUGCACUCGGAGUGCUGAAGUUGCUCCCAGAUUGCUGUCUGCAGGGUGACCAGAACUGGACACAGUACUCUCGAUGAAGCCUCACCACCAUCUUGUACAACUUCAACAAGAUGCCCCAACUCCUGUACUGAAAGGCGAUCAGAAGUGGACACAUUACCCCAGAAGGCGCCUCACCGACAUUCUGUACAAGGUCAACAUAACAUCCCAACUCCUCUCAAACGUCUGAGCAAUGAAGG